Molecule: ribosomal RNA, 303 nt
Filed under: uncultured bacterium
Lineage: Bacteria
Description: partial 16S ribosomal RNA
Rfam family: Bacterial small subunit ribosomal RNA
Source: RNAcentral
AGCAGUCGCCACGGUAAUACAGAGGGUGCGAGCGUUAAUCGGAUUUACUGGGCGUAAAGCGUGCGUAGGCGGCUUUUUAAGUCGGAUGUGAAAUCCCUGAGCUUAACUUAGGAAUUGCAUUCGAUACUGGGAAGCUAGAGUAUGGGAGAGGAUGGUAGAAUUCCAGGUGUAGCGGUGAAAUGCGUAGAGAUCUGGAGGAAUACCGAUGGCGAAGGCAGCCAUCUGGCCUAAUACUGACGCUGAGGUACGAAAGCAUGGGGAGCAAACAGGAUUAGAUACCCCUGUAGUCCCUGUCUCUUAUCC